Molecule: ribosomal RNA, 580 nt
Filed under: uncultured bacterium
Lineage: Bacteria
Description: bacterial SSU rRNA
Rfam family: Bacterial small subunit ribosomal RNA
Source: RNAcentral
UCCUACGGGAGGCAGCAGUAGGGAAUCUUCCGCAAUGGACGAAAGUCUGACGGAGCAACGCCGCGUGAGUGAUGAAGGCUUUCGGGUCGUAAAACUCUGUUGUUAGGGAAGAACAAGUGCUAGUUGAAUAAGCUGGCACCUUGACGGUACCUAACCAGAAAGCCACGGCUAACUACGUGCCAGCAGCCGCGGUAAUACGUAGGUGGCAAGCGUUAUCCGGAAUUAUUGGGCGUAAAGCGCGCGCAGGUGGUUUCUUAAGUCUGAUGUGAAAGCCCACGGCUCAACCGUGGAGGGUCAUUGGAAACUGGGAGACUUGAGUGCAGAAGAGGAAAGCGGAAUUCCAUGUGUAGCGGUGAAAUGCGUAGAGAUAUGGAGGAACACCAGUGGCGAAGGCGACUUUCUGGUCUGUAACUGACACUGAGGCGCGAAAGCGUGGGGAGCAAACAGGAUUAGAUACCCUGGUAGUCCACGCCGUAAACGAUGAGUGCUAAGUGUUAGAGGGUUUCCGCCCUUUAGUGCUGAAGUUAACGCAUUAAGCACUCCGCCUGGGGAGUACGGCCGCAAGGCUGAAACUCAAAGG